This 450-nucleotide ribosomal RNA is filed under the name uncultured Anaerofilum sp. RNAcentral's name for it is "bacterial SSU rRNA". It matches the Rfam family "Bacterial small subunit ribosomal RNA", at positions 9 to 438 of the family's 1533-position model. Lineage: Bacteria; Bacillati; Bacillota; Clostridia; Eubacteriales; Oscillospiraceae. The record is from RNAcentral.
GAGUUUGAUCCUGGCUCAGGACGAACGCUGGCGGCGCGCCUAACACAUGCAAGUCGAACGGAGCUUGCACUUCUGAAGUUUUCGGAUGGACGAGGUACAAGCUUAGUGGCGAACGGGUGAGUAACACGUGAAGAACCUGCCCUUCAGUGGGGGACAACAGUUGGAAACGACUGCUAAUACCGCAUAAGACCACAGUACCGCAUGGUACAGUGAUCAAAGGAUUUAUUCGCUGAAGGAUGGCUUCGCGUCCGAUUAGGUAGUUGGUGAGGUAACGGCCCACCAAGCCUACGAUCGGUAGCCGGACUGAGAGGUUGAUCGGCCACAUUGGGACUGAGACACGGCCCAGACUCCUACGGGAGGCAGCAGUGGGGAAUAUUGCACAAUGGAGGAAACUCUGAUGCAGCGACGCCGCGUGAGGGAAGAAGGUCUUCGGAUUGUAAACCUCUGUCU